CCAGUAGUCAUAUGCUUGUCUUAAAGAUUAAGCCAUGCAUGUCUAAGUAUAAGCGUUAGCACAGCGAGACUGCGAAUGGCUCAUUAAAUCAGUUAUAGUUUAUUUGAUGGUACAUACUACUUGGAUAACCGUAGUAAUUCUAGAGCUAAUACAUGCUUAAAGCCUGGCCUCGGCCAGGUGCAUUUGUUAGGUACAAGCCAAUACCCGGCCGCAAGGCUGGGUUUCUGGUGAUUCUGGACAACUGAGCGGAGCUAAUGGCCUCGAGCCGUUGCCGCUUCAUUCAAAUUUCUGCCCUAUCAACUUUUGAUGGUAGUGUAGUGGACUACCAUGGUUAUAACGGGUAACGGGGAAUUAGGGUUCGGUUCCGGAGAGGGAGCCUGAGAGAUGGCUACCACUUCCAAGGAAGGCAGCAGGCGCGCAAAUUACCCAAUUACAAUACGUAGAGGUAGUGACAAUAAAUAACGAUACGGGGGCCGCAAGGUCUUCGUAAUCGGAAUGAGAGCAAUUCAAAACCCUCAUCGAGGAUCAAUUGGAGGACAAGUCUGGUGCCAGCACCCGCGGUAAUUCCAGCUCCAAUAGCGUAUAUUAAAGUUGUUGCAGUUAAAAAGCUCGUAGUUGGAUUCUGAUGCCCCUGGAAGCGAUCCGCCGGGAGGUGUGUAUUGCUUCUGAGGGCUCCUCUUCUGGCUGGCUCAGCCUGCUCUUAACUGAGUGGGCUGCGGCCUCCAGAUCGUUUACUUUGAAAAAAUUAGAGUGUUUAAAGCAGGCCUUAGCGCCUUGAAUAUAUUAGCAUGGGAUAAUGGAAUAGGACCCCUGGUUUCUUCCGUUGGCUUGGAAUCACGGGUAAUGAUUAAUAGCGAUAGUUGGGGGUGUUCAUAUUUAAUUGUCAGAGGUGAAAUUCUUGGAUUUAUGAAAGAUGAACACAGCGAAAGCAUUCACACGGACAUUCGCAUUAUCAGAACGAAAGUUAUGGAUCGAGACGAUCAGAUACCGUCGUAGUCUUAACUAUAAACGAUGCCGACUAGGG
Molecule: ribosomal RNA, 1024 nt
Filed under: uncultured eukaryote
Lineage: Eukaryota
Description: bacterial SSU rRNA
Rfam family: Eukaryotic small subunit ribosomal RNA
Source: RNAcentral